AGAGUUUGAUCCUGGCUCAGGACGAACGCUGGCGGCGUGCCUAAUACAUGCAAGUAGAACGCUGAAGCUUGGUGCUUGCACCGAGCGGAUGAGUUGCGAACGGGUGAGUAACGCGUAGGUAACCUGCCUGGUAGCGGGGGAUAACUAUUGGAAACGAUAGCUAAUACCGCAUAAGAGUAGAUGUUGCAUGACAUUUGCUUAAAAGGUGCAAUUGCAUCACUACCAGAUGGACCUGCGUUGUAUUAGCUAGUUGGUGAGGUAACGGCUCACCAAGGCAACGAUACAUAGCCGACCUGAGAGGGUGAUCGGCCACACUGGGACUGAGACACGGCCCAGACUCCUACGGGAGGCAGCAGUAGGGAAUCUUCGGCAAUGGACGGAAGUCUGACCGAGCAACGCCGCGUGAGUGAAGAAGGUUUUCGGAUCGUAAAGCUCUGUUGUAAGAGAAGAACGAGUGUGAGAGUGGAAAGUUCACACUGUGACGGUAUCUUACCAGAAAGGGACGGCUAACUACGUGCCAGCAGCCGCGGUAAUACGUAGGUCCCGAGCGUUGUCCGGAUUUAUUGGGCGUAAAGCGAGCGCAGGCGGUUAGAUAAGUCUGAAGUUAAAGGCUGUGGCUUAACCAUAGUACGCUUUGGAAACUGUUUAACUUGAGUGCAAGAGGGGAGAGUGGAAUUCCAUGUGUAGCGGUGAAAUGCGUAGAUAUAUGGAGGAACACCGGUGGCGAAAGCGGCUCUCUGGCUUGUAACUGACGCUGAGGCUCGAAAGCGUGGGGAGCAAACCAGGAUUAGAUACCCUGGUAGUCCACGCCGUAAACGAUGA
This 822-nucleotide ribosomal RNA is filed under the name uncultured bacterium. Its description in RNAcentral is "bacterial SSU rRNA". It matches the Rfam family "Bacterial small subunit ribosomal RNA", at positions 8 to 812 of the family's 1533-position model. The record is from RNAcentral.